UUGGAGGGCAAGUCUGGUGCCAGCAGCCGCGGUAAUUCCAGCUCCAAUAGCGUAUAUUAAAGUUGUUGCAGUUAAAAAGCUCGUAGUUGAAUUUCGGGAUCAAUGUUUCGGUCAUGCCGUUGGUAUGUACUGAUAUUAUUGGUUUCUCACCUUCUAAAGAACCGUAAUGCCAUUAAUUUGGUGUCACGGGGAAUUAGGACUGUUACCUUGAAAAAAUUAGAGUGUUUAAAGCAGGCUCACGUUUGAAUACAUUAGCAUGGAAUAAUGAAAUAGGACAUCCGAUUCUAUUUUGUUGGUUUCUAGGAUCGAUGUAAUGAUUAAUAGGGAUAGUUGGGGGCAUUAGUAUUCAAUUGUCAGAGGUGAAAUUCUUGGAUUUAUUGAAGACUAACUACUGCGAAAGCAUUUGCCAAGGAUGUUUUCAUUAAUCAAGAACGAAAGUUAGGGGAUCGAAGACGAUCAGAUACCGUCGUAGUCUUAACCAUAAACUAUGCCGACUAGGGAUCGGAUGAUGUUAAUUUUUUAAUGACUCAUUCGGCGCCUUACGGGAAAC
This 550-nucleotide ribosomal RNA is filed under the name uncultured Funneliformis. RNAcentral's name for it is "SSU rRNA". It matches the Rfam family "Eukaryotic small subunit ribosomal RNA", at positions 548 to 1098 of the family's 1831-position model. The record is from RNAcentral. Lineage: Eukaryota; Fungi; Glomeromycota; Glomeromycetes; Glomerales; Glomeraceae.